CCUACGGGCGGCAGCAGUAGGGAAUAUUGCUCAAUGGGGGCAACCCUGAACCAGCAACGCCGCGUGGAGGAUGACGGCUUUCGGAUUGUAAACCUCUUUUUUUAGAGAGGAUAAUGACGGUACGUAACGAAUAUGCACCGGCUAACUCCGUGCCAGCAGCCGCGGUAAUACGGAGGGUGCAAGCGUUAUUCGGAAUCACUGGGCGUAAAGAGCGCGUAGGCGGGAUAGCAAGUCAGAUGUGAAAUCCUAUGGCUUAACCGUAGAACUGCAUUUGAAACUGUGAUUCUAGAGUGUGGGAGAGGUAGGUGGAAUUCGUGGUGUAGGGGUAAAAUGCGUAGAGAUCAAGAAGAAUACUCAUUGCGAAGGCGGCCUGCUGGAGCGUAACUGACGCUGAUGCGCGAAGGCGUGGGGAUCGAACAGGAUUAGAUACCCGAGUAGUC
Molecule: ribosomal RNA, 440 nt
Filed under: uncultured bacterium
Lineage: Bacteria
Description: partial 16S ribosomal RNA
Rfam family: Bacterial small subunit ribosomal RNA
Source: RNAcentral